This 1804-nucleotide ribosomal RNA is filed under the name Salmonella enterica subsp. enterica serovar Montevideo. RNAcentral describes it as "partial 23S ribosomal RNA". It matches the Rfam family "Bacterial large subunit ribosomal RNA", at positions 1147 to 2925 of the family's 2925-position model. The record is from RNAcentral. Lineage: Bacteria; Pseudomonadati; Pseudomonadota; Gammaproteobacteria; Enterobacterales; Enterobacteriaceae.
GGUCGAGUCGGCCUGCGCGGAAGAUGUAACGGGGCUAAACCAUGCACCGAAGCUGCGGCAGCGACGCUGAUGCGUUGUUGGGUAGGGGAGCGUUCUGUAAGCCUGCGAAGGUGGCCUGUGAGGGUUGCUGGAGGUAUCAGAAGUGCGAAUGCUGACAUAAGUAACGAUAAAGCGGGUGAAAAGCCCGCUCGCCGGAAGACCAAGGGUUCCUGUCCAACGUUAAUCGGGGCAGGGUGAGUCGACCCCUAAGGCGAGGCCGAAAGGCGUAGUCGAUGGGAAACGGGUUAAUAUUCCCGUACUUGGUGUUACUGCGAAGGGGGGACGGAGAAGGCUAUGUUGGCCGGGCGACGGUUGUCCCGGUUUAAGCGUGUAGGUGUGUGUUCCAGGUAAAUCCGGUUCACUUUAACACUGAGGCGUGAUGACGAGGCACUACGGUGCUGAAGCAACAAAUGCCCUGCUUCCAGGAAAAGCCUCUAAGCAUCAGGUAACAUCAAAUCGUACCCCAAACCGACACAGGUGGUCAGGUAGAGAAUACCAAGGCGCUUGAGAGAACUCGGGUGAAGGAACUAGGCAAAAUGGUGCCGUAACUUCGGGAGAAGGCACGCUGACACGUAGGUGAAGUGAUUUACUCAUGGAGCUGAAGUCAGUCGAAGAUACCAGCUGGCUGCAACUGUUUAUUAAAAACACAGCACUGUGCAAACACGAAAGUGGACGUAUACGGUGUGACGCCUGCCCGGUGCCGGAAGGUUAAUUGAUGGGGUCAGCGCAAGCGAAGCUCCUGAUCGAAGCCCCGGUAAACGGCGGCCGUAACUAUAACGGUCCUAAGGUAGCGAAAUUCCUUGUCGGGUAAGUUCCGACCUGCACGAAUGGCGUAAUGAUGGCCAGGCUGUCUCCACCCGAGACUCAGUGAAAUUGAACUCGCUGUGAAGAUGCAGUGUACCCGCGGCAAGACGGAAAGACCCCGUGAACCUUUACUAUAGCUUGACACUGAACAUUGAGCCUUGAUGUGUAGGAUAGGUGGGAGGCUUUGAAGUGUGGACGCCAGUCUGCAUGGAGCCGACCUUGAAAUACCACCCUUUAAUGUUUGAUGUUCUAACGUGGACCCGUGAUCCGGGUUGCGGACAGUGUCUGGUGGGUAGUUUGACUGGGGCGGUCUCCUCCUAAAGAGUAACGGAGGAGCACGAAGGUUGGCUAAUCCUGGUCGGACAUCAGGAGGUUAGUGCAAUGGCAUAAGCCAGCUUGACUGCGAGCGUGACGGCGCGAGCAGGUGCGAAAGCAGGUCAUAGUGAUCCGGUGGUUCUGAAUGGAAGGGCCAUCGCUCAACGGAUAAAAGGUACUCCGGGGAUAACAGGCUGAUACCGCCCAAGAGUUCAUAUCGACGGCGGUGUUUGGCACCUCGAUGUCGGCUCAUCACAUCCUGGGGCUGAAGUAGGUCCCAAGGGUAUGGCUGUUCGCCAUUUAAAGUGGUACGCGAGCUGGGUUUAGAACGUCGUGAGACAGUUCGGUCCCUAUCUGCCGUGGGCGCUGGAGAACUGAGGGGGGCUGCUCCUAGUACGAGAGGACCGGAGUGGACGCAUCACUGGUGUUCGGGUUGUCAUGCCAAUGGCACUGCCCGGUAGCUAAAUGCGGAAGAGAUAAGUGCUGAAAGCAUCUAAGCACGAAACUUGCCCCGAGAUGAGUUCUCCCUGAGACUUUAGGUCUCCUGAAGGAACGUUGAAGACGACGACGUUGAUAGGCCGGGUGUGUAAGCGCAGCGAUGCGUUGAGCUAACCGGUACUAAUGAACCGUGAGGCUUAACCUUACA